Molecule: ribosomal RNA, 440 nt
Filed under: uncultured bacterium
Lineage: Bacteria
Description: partial 16S ribosomal RNA
Rfam family: Bacterial small subunit ribosomal RNA
Source: RNAcentral
CCUACGGGUGGCUGCAGUCGGGAAUUUUGGGCAAUGGGGGAAACCCUGACCCAGCAACGCCGCGUGAAGGAUGAAGUAUUUCGGUAUGUAAACUUCGAAAGAAUAGGAAGAAUUAAUGACGGUACUAUUUAUAAGGUCCGGCUAACUACGUGCCAGCAGCCGCGGUAAUACGUAGGGACCAAGCGUUGUUCGGAUUUACUGGGCGUAAAGGGCGCGUAGGCGGCAUGGUAAGUCACUUGUGAAAUCUCCGAGCUUAACUCGGAACGGCCAAGUGAUACUGCUGAGCUAGAGUGCAGAAGGGGCAAUCGGAAUUCUUGGUGUAGCGGUGAAAUGCGUAGAUAUCAAGAGGAACACCUGAGGUGAAGACGGGUUGCUGGGCUGACACUGACGCUGAGGCGCGAAAGCUAGGGGAGCAAACGGGAUUAGAUACCCCGGUAGUC